Molecule: non-coding RNA, 108 nt
Organism: Acanthosepion pharaonis
Lineage: Eukaryota; Metazoa; Mollusca; Cephalopoda; Sepiida; Sepiidae
Source: the annotation of a GenBank genome assembly
GGCCACAUAACGUUGAAACACUGUUCUCAUACAAUCACCAAAGUUAAGCAAUGUUGAGCCUGGUCAGUACCUAGAAGUGUGACUGCUUGGGAAUACCAGGAGCAGUAA